Molecule: long non-coding RNA, 587 nt
Filed under: Salmo salar (Atlantic salmon)
Lineage: Eukaryota; Metazoa; Chordata; Actinopteri; Salmoniformes; Salmonidae
Description: lncRNA (ENSSSAG00000091503.1)
Source: RNAcentral
GAGUUUUCAAAACAAAUGAUCUCUAUAAUUCUGCCAGGUAGGCAUAUGCUACUUUGUAGUUAAAAUUUAAUAGAGGAGGUUUGGGAAAGUCUUUCCCUCUACCAGAAGACAGUUAUCAUUAGCAUUAUCUCUAACAGCUGCACAGAGUGUAGACCAGACAUACAGAGCAGCACAACACACAGUGUGUAGACCAGACAUACAGAUCAGCACUACACACACAGUGUAGUCCAGACAUACAGAGCAGCACUACACACAGAGUAUAGACCAGACAUACAGAGCAGCACUACACACAGAGUGUAGACCAGACAUACAGAGCAGCACUACACACAGAGCAGCACUACACACAGAGUGUAGACCAGACAUACAGAGCAGCACUACACACAGAGUGUAGACCAGACAUACAGAGCAGCACAACACAGAGUGUAGACCAGACAUACAGAGCAGCACUACACACAGAGCAGCACUAUACAGAGUGUAGACCAGACAUACAGAGCAGCACUACACAGAGUGUAGACCAGACAUAUAGAGCAGCACUACACACAGGACAGCACUACACACAGAGUGUAGACCAGACAUACAGAGCAGCA